GCCAGGCAGUGAUGUUUUUUUCGUUCUUUGUGGAAGUGGGUCAGCAGCGGGAUCGGGAUCCGGGAUCGGGAUCGGGAUCGGGAGGGGGUCCUCGCCCCCUUGGACGGGGGGCCGGAGACGGAUUAUUCUCUGCGGGGCAACACCAACAAUUUCCCUUCAGUGAGUACUGAAGCCGGACCCAAGCGGGGAGGUCUGACGUUGUGUGGUGAGUUAACUUUCCCGAACUCAAACAAGAGAAAAUCUGCAGAUGCUGGAAAUGCGAACAACGCGCACAAAAUGCCGGAAGAACUCAGCAGGCCGGGCAGCAUCUAGGGGAAGAAUACAGUCGACAUUACCGGACGAAACCCUUCGGCAGGACUGGAGAAUAAAAGACCUGCGGUGAGAGGUUUAUUGGAAGAAAAACCCCAACUGGAAGCAAACCAUGGCUGAAGAUGUGGGAAUAGCAACAAGUGAACUGGCCCGAGGACUGAGAGCAUCAACUGGAGAGAACAACACUGAAUCAGCUGACUUGAAGUUCCCACUGAGUCAGUGAGGAGGAAGUUUGUUAGACCUGCAGUGAGAGGUUUGUUGGAAGAAAAACCCCAAAUGGAAGCAAACCACGACUGAAGACGGGAACAGCAAUAAGUGAACCAGCCUGAGGACUGAGAUCAUAAACUGGAGAGAACAACUGCCUCAGGAGAAUCGGAGAUUCCAUUGAUUCAGUCAGGAGAAAGUUUGGUCGAAUUGCGAGUUCAACACUCAACCGGGCACGGAUGGAAAGCGUACAAGGGAGAGGCCCGACUGUAUUCGAACCCGGGGACCUCCGUUACUGAGUCCGGCGCUGACGUCACUACGACACCAGGACCUUGGGCAAGACUCCCAGAAGAUUAACUUCCGGGCUGAGUUGUGGUAAAGAAGGCAAAUACAACGCUGGCUUUAUUUAAAGUGAAGUAGAAUAUAUUAGCAAGGAGAUAAUGCUGAUUCUUUACAAGACACUCCUCAGGCCGCACGUCAGAACAUAAGAAAUGGGAGCAGGAGUCGGCCAUUGGCCCACUGAGUAUGCCCCGCCAUGCAAUAAGAUCAUGGCUGAUCCGUCAGGAAACUCAGGUCCAUCUACCUGCCUUUUCCCUAUAACCCUUCAUUACCUUAUUCUGCAAAAUCCUAUCUAACCGUAUCUUAAAUAUACUUCGUGAGGAAACCUCAACUGCUUCCCUGGACAGAGAAGUCCGCAGAUUCACCAUUCUGCGGGAAAAACAGUUUCCCCUCCUCUCCGUCCUAAAUCCUCUCUCCGGAGUCUUGAGGCAAUGUCCCCGAGUUCUAGUCUCAUCUACCAAAGGAAACAACUUUCCUACUAUCUUAUCUAUCCCUUUCAAAAUUCUAGGUAUUUCUAUAAGAUUCCCUUUCAUUCUUCUGAACCCCAGACAGAAAAGUCCCAGGUGACUCAAUCUCUCCUCAUAGGUUAACCCCCUCAUCCCUGGAAUCAAACUGGUUCACCUUCUCUGCAUUGCCUCCAAAGCCAGUACUGUAUAUCCUUCCUCGUGUACGGAGACCAGAACUGGACACAGUACUCCAGGUGCGGCCUCACCUGUACCCUGUAUAGUGGCAGCAUUACCUCCCUGCUCUUGAAUUCAAUCCCUCUACCAAUGAAGGCUAACAUUCCGUUAGUUAGAGUAUGUGGGACUUCUAUCUUAGAAAAUGUGCGUUGUCAUUGGAGAGAGUCCAGAGGAUCUUCAAGAAGACGAUUUCGGGAAUGAAGGGGUUUAGCAUGAGAAGCGUUUCCCAGCUUUGGGCCUGUACUCCUGCACUGACUUAUGUUUAGUAAAUGUGGGUGGAGGGGUUCAGAAGCUGCAGAAGGCUGUAAAUCUCGUCACCUCCAUCUUGGGUACGAGACUACAAAGUAUCCAGGACAUCUUUAGGAAGCGAUAUCACAGAAGGGCAGCGUCCAUUAUAAAGGACCUCCAGCACCCAGGACAUGCCCUUUCCUCACUGUUACCAUCAGGUAGGAGAUAUAGAAGCCUGAAGGCGCACAGUCAGUGAUUCAGGAAAAGCUUCUUCCCCUCUGCCAUCCGAUUCCUGAAUGGACUUUGAAAGCUUUGGACACUCUUCAAUAUACAGUAUUUCUGUUUUUACACAUUUUAAUAAAAUAUUCAUCACACAUAAUUGAUUUACUUGAUUAUUGUUUUAAUUAGUUUAUUAUUAUUAUCUAUGUCAGAAUAUGAAUUGCAUUGAACUGCUGUUUGAUUAUUGUUUUAAUUCAUUUAUUAUUAUCUAUGCCAGAAUAUGUAUUGCAUUGAACUGCUGUUUGAUUAUUGUUUUAAUUAAUUUAUUAUUAUUAUCUAUGCCAGAAUAUGAAUUGCAUUGAACUGCUGUUUGAUUAUUGUUUUAAUUCAUUCAUUAUUAUUAUCUAUGCCAGAAUAUGAAUUGCAUUGAACUGCUGUUUGAUUAUUGUUUUAAUUCAUUCAUUAUUAUUAUCUAUGCCAGAAUCUGUAUUGCAUUGAACUGCUGCUGCUGUCAACAAAUUUCAAGCCAAAUGCCGGUGGUAAUAAACCUCAUCCUGAAUCUUGAAUCUCACUGAAACCCACUGAAUGUGGAAAGGUCCGGAUAGGGUGGAUGAGGAGAGGCCUUUUCCUAUGGUGGGGGUAGCCAUAACAGAGGGCACAGCCUGAAAACUGAGGAGCAACCUUUUAGAGCAGUUGAGGAGGAUUUUAUUUAGUCAGAGAGCAGUGAAUCUGUGGAAUUCUCUGACACAGACGGCGGUGGGGGCCAGGUCUGUGGGUACUUUUCAGGCAAAAGCUAAUAGUUUAUGGAUCAGUCGAGGCAUUACAGGAUAUGCCGAGGAGACAGGUGCAUGGGGUUGAGUGAGAACCGGGAUCAGCCAUGAUAGAACGGCGGAGCAGUCUCAAUGGGUCUGACUGGCCUAAUUCUGCUCCUAUGUCUGAUAGUCUUAUACUGCGAGUGUCUCACACAGUGAAGAUUGACACAAAAUACUUAUUACAUUCAGCCGCGAUUUCUUUGCUCCAUUACUAACACGCCAGCAUCGUCUUCCAGUGGUACAAUAUCAACUCUUCCCUCUCUUUUACUCUUUAUAUAUCUGAACAACUCUUGAUACCUGAUAUUAUUGGCUCAAUUACCGUAAUUUUUCAUCAUGUCUCUCCUGUGUGUGUGUGUGUGUGUGUGUGUGUGUGUUUUUUUUUGUUGUCUCCUGUUGGGUAUGUAAAAGAUUUCCAUUCCUCUCACUUCCCACUGUUUUCUUGCUAUAUUACGUGACCCCGCUUUUGCUUUUAUCAAAAACAGGAGAAAAUCUGUGGAUGCCGGAAAUCCAAGCAACUCAUACACAAAAUGCUGGAGGAACCUGGGAGGCCAGGCAGCAUAAAUGGGAAAUAGCAAACAGUCGACGUUUCGGGCCCAGACCCUUCAUCAGGACUGGGAACAAGGAAGAUGAGACGUCAGAGGAAGCAGUGUGAGGGUUGGAGGGGUGGAAGACGUGGUAGGUGAUGGGUGAACCUGGGAGACGGGGAGCAGUGAAGGAAAAAUCUUCUUUGGAUUUUAUUUCCUUAACGAUUCUCGAAAGAUCAUUGCUAAUGCCUCCACAUCACUUCAGCCACCUCUUUCGGAUCUCAGGGGUGUACACCAUCUGGUCCAGGUGACCUAUUUACCUUCAGACCAUCUCUGUUUCCCGAAGAACCUUCUCCCGAGUAACGUAACUUUACACAUUCUGACCACUAACAUCUGGGACUUCCAUAUUCCUGCCAGUGUCUUCGAGAGAUAAGAGUGAUGUACAAGACUUAUUCAGUUCAUCUGCCAUCACCUUGCACCCCCACCCCAUUACUAGCUGUCCAGCAUCAUUUUUCAGUGGUCCGAUAUCCACUUCAGCCUCUCUCUUACAAUAUAUGUACCUGAAGAAAAAGUUGGUAUCCUCUUUAAUAUUGCGGGCCAGCUCAUCUUUGUAUUCCAUCUUUGCUGCCUGACAAUGACGGAAAACGUAGUUUACUUUAUUCAAUGUAGUCUUGUUUUUUUUUAAUAUGUUUCAAUUGUGCUUAAGCCCAAAGUGCAUAGAGAUAUGUAGGUAAUACAUGAUACUUAUGGGGUGUUAGCCUUCAUAAGUGGAGGAAUAGAGUUUAAGUGUCGCGAGGUAAUGAUGCAGCUCUAUAAAACUCCAGUUCGGCCACACUUCGAGUACCGUGUCCAGUUCUGGUCGCCUCACUAUAGGAAGGAUGUGGAAGCAUUGGAAUGGGUACAGAGGAGAUUUACCAGGUUGGUGCCUGAUUUAGAUAGUAUGGGUUAUGAUCAGAGAUUAAGGGAGCUUGGGCUUUACUCUUUGAAAGAAGGAAGAUGAGAGGAGACAUGACAGAGAUGUACAAGAUAUUAAGAGGAAUAGACAGAGUGGACAGCCAGCGCCUCUACCCCAGGGCACCACUGCUCAGUAUAAGAGGACAUGGUAAGGGGAGGGAAGUUCAAGGGGGAUAUUAGAGGAAGGUUUUUCACUCAGAGAGUGGUUGGUGCGUGGAAUGCACUGCCCGAGUCAGUGGUGGAGGCAGAUACACCAGUGAAAUUGAAGAGACUACUAGACGGGUAUAUGGAGGAAUUUAAGGUGGGAGGCUAUAUGGGAGGCAGGGUUUGAGGGUCACCACAACAUUGUGGGCCGAAGGGCCUGUAAUGUGCUGUACUAUUCUAUGUUUUAUAAUCAAUACAUUAUUUCAGAUAGGACAAUCCAUACGAACCAUUCGGAUAUAAUAUUACAGGAUUAAUAAGCAGGAACAACUCCCCCAAUAGAUAAAACCAUUCCAAACACAUACGUUCCUCAACCAGUGGAGCACCUCACCACAGGCAUUGUUUGUGUCAUCAGUCAGACAACCGAAAGAUUUUCUCUAUCAAUCAGCUUCCAAAUGUUGUUGACACGCCCCGCUGCUGAUUCCCUUCUCCUUAUCAUACGUUCUUACCCCGACCGUCGUCCAGAGCCCCAAACUCUGCCCUGUGCAGACCCGCCUCUGGUUUCUGACCCUGCUCCGUUGAACAUCCAAACAAUGGUUUCGCAUUCUGCUUUCAGUCUUUAGAGGACAGUGUGUUUUCAACAACACUUUAGAAGCAGGGGAAAUGACCCAUAAUGUGGAAAUGAGUCAUGAAUAAGGAGGGUAACUCCCAAAUUCAUUCUUCCUCAGCUCAGAGAUUUCAGGGGUAAAGAACAUCUCAGACAGAACUGCAGUCAGCUCACUUUCUUCAGUCUGCAGAAAAUUCAGGGAAACCACUUCACCCACAGGAUGGUGACUGUUUGGAACCCAUCACCACAGGGAGAGCAAGAGGUGAACAACAGGGGAGGACUUAAAAGGACUGUCCUGGAACAGAAUCACAGGCAGGGUCCAGCCGGCAUGAGUUGACCCUCCACUGUGCACAAGGAUCCCAAUGCAGGGAGUGCCAAGCAGACGGGCUGAGUAAGCGGCUGGACCACUCUGGGGACUGCAGAGACUGACCGGGUGCCCAAUAGGUUAAAAAAGGUCCAUUUCAUGAAAUAUAAACCAAGAAAUAAAAAGAAACCGGAAUUACCAGAAACACUCAGCAGGUAAGGAACAGCUUACAAUACAAUUCAAUUAAUAACAUUUCAUCAGAUUGAGUUCAAACAUUUUCAGUUUUUAGUGCAGAUCUCCAGCACAGCUGCCUGAUUUCCACUGUGCACGAGCACUCCCAGUACUCUUUGCUGCCAGUAAAAUGCUGCAGUGUGUCAGCCCGUCACUGUUCAUAAACUAGCACCUCCACAGCAAUGCACAACAGAACUAGGACCUGAUGACUCUCCGACAUUCCAAACAACAAUAACCGAUUCUGGAAAUGACUCAGCGAGGCCAAAGGUACAAAAGAACACUUCACAAUGAAGACAAGGUUUAGAAGAAAGUUUGCUGAUAUAUAACAUUGAGGAGGUGGGAUACAAGGCGGACUGAGGCUG
Molecule: RNA transcript, 5914 nt
Organism: Hypanus sabinus (Atlantic stingray)
Lineage: Eukaryota; Metazoa; Chordata; Chondrichthyes; Myliobatiformes; Dasyatidae
Gene name: zinc finger protein 585A-like
Exons: 6
Source: RefSeq, a predicted model, not a curated record